AUGCAGCAUGGAAGGAAGAGGACCACGGUGACAGAGCAAUGGAUGAAUAAAGAGGCACUUAAGACCAGGUCAGGGGCCAGUUUGAGUGCUGGGUGCUCCUCUUCCAAUGCAGAUCUCUGCUAUGGCCUGGGAAAACAGCUGAAGAUGGCCCAGGGGCAUGACCCCCUGCACCCACUUGGGAGACCUGGAAGAAGCUCCUGGCUCCUGGCUUCUGUAGAGCUCAGCUCCAGACGUUGCAGCCAUUUGGGGAGUGAACCAGCAGAUGGAAGACCUUUCUCUCUGCCUCUCAAUUAAAAAAAUAAAAUAUUUUUUAAAGAAAGACCA
This 324-nucleotide long non-coding RNA is filed under the name Oryctolagus cuniculus (rabbit). Its description in RNAcentral is "lncRNA (ENSOCUG00000034944.1)". Lineage: Eukaryota; Metazoa; Chordata; Mammalia; Lagomorpha; Leporidae. The record is from RNAcentral.